UUUUUCCGAAUGCCUUGUGCUGUGCGUUCAAAUAUCAAUUUCAAAUUCAUGUUUUUGUUAAUUGUUCCUUGCUUUUCUUUUAGGGUUGAGUAGGGAAGGCUUAGAUGUGCUCAACUGUUCCAAGUAUUUAUGUUUUCGUCUCUCAAAUUCACCAUGAAUAUAUGCUGCUUUCAAAGGAAUUUCUCAGCUUCUUUGCCGUCUUUGCUUCUUCUUCCGUUACCAUCACAAAGGGAAACCCACUUUUGGUAUAUUGCACCUGAUAAGGUGAAGAGUACAUCUCUCCAAAAUCAAUAUUUAGAAAUCUUUCACCAAGGGAGAAGGAAAGUGUUUCUCAAAUUCGUGGAGACCUGCACAAGAAAAGUGCCCCGCUAGCUUCGGUGUUAGUUCGCACUACCAUUGCCGGAUGUAGGUGCUUGAUGUUACUCGCUUGCAUUUUUCAUUACACUAUUAAUAAACAUAGAGAUUUAACUUUCAAUAUAUUUAAAAUUGAUUUUCUUAUUCUAUGUGGACGCUGUGUCGGCACUAGAUUUGUAAUAUCAAGUUUUACUUGAUAGUUGGAAAAUUUUUUUAACAA
Mangifera indica (mango) is the source of this 574-nucleotide long non-coding RNA. RefSeq lists it as uncharacterized. The transcript is spliced from 2 exons. The record is from RefSeq and is a predicted model, not a curated record. NCBI's taxonomy places the organism in Eukaryota, Viridiplantae, Streptophyta, Magnoliopsida, Sapindales, Anacardiaceae.